Molecule: non-coding RNA, 208 nt
Organism: Pelobates cultripes (western spadefoot toad)
Lineage: Eukaryota; Metazoa; Chordata; Amphibia; Anura; Pelobatidae
Source: the annotation of a GenBank genome assembly
CAGAUACACAUAAAAUGACAUACACACACUGACACACACUCACAGGCACACUCAUUCUCACUCACAGACACACACUGACAGCUACACUCACUCGUUCACUCACAGUAAGGUGGACAGCCCUAGAACAUGAGGCAAACAAGGCAUUUGUCUGGGAGCUUAGGUGGCAUUUUUUGGCGCCCCCCCCUGAAAGUGCCGCCCUAGGCAAAUG